This 424-nucleotide ribosomal RNA is filed under the name Verrucomicrobiota bacterium. Its description in RNAcentral is "Verrucomicrobia bacterium partial 16S ribosomal RNA". It matches the Rfam family "Bacterial small subunit ribosomal RNA", at positions 355 to 776 of the family's 1533-position model. Lineage: Bacteria; Pseudomonadati; Verrucomicrobiota. The record is from RNAcentral.
UGAGGAAUAUUGGUCAAUGGACGCAAGUCUGAACCAGCCAAGUAGCGUGCAGGAUGACGGCCCUAUGGGUUGUAAACUGCUCUUAUAUGGGGAUAAAGUGGGGAACGUGUUCCCUUUUGCAGGUACCAUAUGAAUAAGGACCGGCUAAUUCCGUGCCAGCAGCCGCGGUAAUACGGAAGGUUCGGGCGUUAUCCGGAUUUAUUGGGUUUAAAGGGAGCGUAGGCCGUUUGGUAAGCGUGUUGUGAAAUGUAGGAGCUCAACUUCUAGAUUGCAGCGCGAACUGUCAGACUUGAGUGCGCACAACGUAGGCGGAAUUCAUGGUGUGGCGGUGAAAUGCUUAGAUAUCAUGAAGAACUCCGAUUGCGAAGACAGCUUACGGGGGCGCAACUGACGCUGAAGCUCGAAGGUGCGGGUAUCGAACAGG